Molecule: long non-coding RNA, 2253 nt
Filed under: Homo sapiens (human)
Lineage: Eukaryota; Metazoa; Chordata; Mammalia; Primates; Hominidae
Description: HSALNT0391088
Source: RNAcentral
UGGCAUGAGGCCCUGUCACAGAGCCUCGGGGAGCCCAGGGCCCUGGAAGUCUCCCACCCAACUCCCACCUCCUGGCAGAGGCUGCGGGGGCGGAGGGGAAGGGGUCCAGAGCCCUGAGAGGAGCAGGAGUGGCAUGCAUGGCCCGUGUGUGUAUAAGUGAGUGAUGGAGGCAAAGGCCAAGUCAUAGGGCCUAGGUGGGUACAACUCUGAGACCCGUUCCCAUUCAUUUCUGGCCUUGUGACAGUGGGCAAGGCACUUCACUCCUUGGAGACCCAACCCUGUCAUAAUAUUCAACAUUUGCAGGGCGCUCUGUGGUUCACUUUGUGACUUCACUGGUAUCCUGAUCUCUACAAUGUUGGGAGGGAUUCUCACAUGCAUUCCACACAUGAGCAGUUGAGGCUCAGCUAGCUGGGCAGCUAGCUGGCAUCACAGCACCCACAUGGGAACGAGCCACAUCUCAAGCCCAGUUCUCAGGUGCUCAGUUCAGCAUCCUGUCUGUAUGCCUACAGCCUCUCCACAGGGACCACUCCCAGGAUCUUGCAAAUCUUGGCAGACUCAAAGGUUUAGGGCAGGGACCAAAAGGAGCAAAAUCAGUGAGAAGAAGACCAGAGCUUCCCCUGCCAACCCUGGACAUGGGAUCUGAGGAUUGCACAGUCCCUGAAAGCUCCCUGGGCACGGCCCCCCUCCUGCCAGGCACCAGCUGCCCUGGGUCCACAGCCUGCCUGGGCACAUGCUGAGCCCCUCCCAGAGGCUGUCCCUGGCCACAGCAGGUGCCAAGGCAGCAGCAUAGUGUGGGCAGGGGGUGGGCAAGCGGGCAGGCCCGGUCCAUCACGCACAUCCCAGCAGCUGUGCCACGAGUCCAGAGCACGCCCUUACCCUUCCAGCCCAGCCUGGCCAUGGCUGCCUCGGCACCUCUAUAGGACAGACGUGCCUGCCUCGAAGGCUGGGGAGCCCAGGGUUUGAUUCUCGUGCCACCCACCCAGCCCUGGUUCUCUCCCAGACCCCAAAUCUUACUCUCCCUGGCUUCCCCUAACCUUCAGGGUUGGGGAGCAUCUCGCCCAUUUGCCGUCCUGGAAAAAUUGCAAAGGGAAUUGGGAAGGGUGGGGCAGGGCUGGAGGAGGAGGCGGCUUUUCCCUUUGUCAGGCUCCUCUGGGGCCGGCAAUGAGGUGAUAAUGCUCCUAAUGGGCCUGGAUAAGCGGGCGGAUCAGUGGUGUCAACAAUAGUGGAGCAGGAAAGGGCUGGAGAGAGGAGAAGCCUGGCCACGCUGGAGAAAUAGAGAACACUUGAGGAGCAGGAUGUCCAGUUUCCGGAACAUUGGGCCUUCUGAAUGAGAAACUGGUCAGCCGCUCCCUGUGGCCUCAUCAGGACCUGCCCUUCCCUCAGUAUGGACCUAUCCACUACCCAGAAAGCAUCACAAAAUCAGAAAUAUUUGAGCUGGAAGAAUACUUCAGGGUGGCCUCAUUCUGCUCGGCAUAUGCCAUGGCCACCACGGCCAGGAUCAGAUUGAUGAGGUAGAAAGAGCCCAGGAAGAUGAUGACCACGAAGAAGAUCAUAGCAGGGCAUCGUUGGAGCCCUCCAGGAAGUAGAAGUUCCCUUUGGGAGUCAGAGGCCACAAAGGAGGCAAGUCACCCACAUGGACACAGUGUGAGCACCUGCGCCCAUUGCACACCUGUGGACAGGUCUGCGCGUACCACAUAAACCAAACGGAUGUUCCCUGGCUGCCUCUUCCCCGUCCUUUAAGGACAGCUCCAAGUUCCAAGGUCUCUGGGUAGGGACUCGGCAGGGAGCUCAGCUUGAGCCCUGUCAGCCCAGUGCCCAGUGUGGACGAAAAGUCAUGACGCAGCAGUGGCACAGAGACGGAACGUGUACGUGUGUGCAUGGGGUUAUUGUGUACCUAUGUAGGGCCCCUGAGUGAAGGGUGAGUGGGGGCUGGAAUCCAGGUGCCAGGGUGAGAAGGGUUACCUUUUCCUAAUUUGCAAGAAGGCGCUAUGUAGACUAACAGUGGCUGUGUGAGAAUGUGUGUGUUUCUGGCAUGUGUGCCUGUGAAGAUGCAUAUGUGAAUAGGAUGUGGGUGUGUGGGUGGGUGAUGGUGACCCUGCCAGGAUGUGAGCAUGUGAAAAUGUGGUGUGAUGAAGGAGGACAGGGGGUGCACAGGUUAGGGAGUAGGAACUAUAGACUCUUGCUUUGCAUAGUGAGAGCUUUAGGAUUUUUUUUUUUUUAGACUGAGUUUCACUCUUGUUGCCCAGGCUAGAG